AUUGAACGCUGGCGGCAUGCCUUACACAUGCAAGUCGAACGGUAACAGGUCUUCGGAUGCUGACGAGUCGCGAACGGGUGAGUAAUACAUCGGAACGUGCCCGAUCGUGGGGGAUAACGGAGCGAAAGCUUUGCUAAUACCGCAUACGAUCUACGGAUGAAAGCAGGGGACCGCAAGGCCUUGCGCGGACGGAGCGGCCGAUGGCAGAUUAGGUAGUUGGUGGGAUAAAAGCUUACCAAGCCGACGAUCUGUAGCUGGUCUGAGAGGACGACCAGCCACACUGGGACUGAGACACGGCCCAGACUCCUACGGGAGGCAGCAGUGGGGAAUUUUGGACAAUGGGCGAAAGCCUGAUCCAGCCAUGCCGCGUGCAGGAUGAAGGCCUUCGGGUUGUAAACUGCUUUUGUACGGAACGAAAAGACUCUUUCUAAUAAAGAGGGUCCAUGACGGUACCGUAAGAAUAAGCACCGGCUAACUACGUG
Molecule: ribosomal RNA, 482 nt
Filed under: uncultured bacterium
Lineage: Bacteria
Description: partial 16S ribosomal RNA
Rfam family: Bacterial small subunit ribosomal RNA
Source: RNAcentral